AUGGAUAAGGCUUUCACGUGAUAUGCUGUAUGGGAGUAGCAACUAACAAACAUUCCUAUGACAGAUGUAACCUGGUAACCUUAAAUUGUUACCUUGAUCUUGGAGUAGGAAAGAAGGCCUGGAAAAAGGGAGAAGGGACAAGGGAAACAUGAGUCCGAGGAAGUCUACUCCAGACUGGUUUUCACAUCUAUACUGAAGUGAAGUGAAGGUAAAUUGUUUUCAGUUCUCUGUACAAGAACUGAACAUGCUCUAGGCUACUGUCUUGCUUAUCCAUCCCCUUUUAUUUAUGCCAUAUUUAAUUCCAACUUAUCUGGUCUUCCAGCAACUAGGAAUUAUAUUAGGGAAGUGUGCAAGUGAGUUAGAAGUCAGAUAGAAAGAUGUGUUCAGCUAUGGUUUAAUAUCACGGGUGAAGCACUCACUGCACUGAGCUUAAAAGAAUUUACAGUGGUGAUCCUAUAUGUGAAAUAUAUUUGGACUCAAAUUAUCAAUCACUACAAGUAUCUGAGGAUGUGCAAGUAUGCCUACUGAGUGUACUGAGUAUGGUGAUGAAAUGCAACUCUCAUAGGAAUAAUGAUAUAGAGGACUGUACCCUUCAAAUGUAAAAUUAUCUUUUGGAAAGAGGGGUCAUUCAAUGAGGAUUAAAACGAGAGGUUUUUUUUUUCCUCCUAUUGCAUAUAGGAUCCAUGGUGCCACAGAUCUGUCUGGAAAUUAGACACUUUUUUAGUUCACAGUGUCAUGUUCUUAGAAGAUGUAUAAAGUAGCAAAUUUUAGGUAACGAGGUAAAGAUGCAGUCUGUAGGUGUGGCCUUUGUGAGAAGAGGCCAAGAGUUGCCCCCAUGCUGGACAGAGCCAGUUUCAUCCAUCUAAAAAUGUCCUCACAAGAAGACACAGCUGAGAUGAUCAACCAAACUGGUCAUGGGAAAACAUGUUUAAGAAAGGGUAAAAGAAUGUUGUGAAAACCCACCACAGAAGUUUAUGGCUUUCUUAUGUCAGGUGAGACCCUCCUCCCUCUUCCCAGAUCUGCUGUACUAUC
Molecule: long non-coding RNA, 1032 nt
Filed under: Anas platyrhynchos platyrhynchos (common mallard)
Lineage: Eukaryota; Metazoa; Chordata; Aves; Anseriformes; Anatidae
Description: lncRNA (ENSAPLG00000031230.1)
Source: RNAcentral